This is a long non-coding RNA of Betta splendens (Siamese fighting fish), 907 nucleotides long. RefSeq lists it as uncharacterized. The record is from RefSeq and is a predicted model, not a curated record. The transcript is spliced from 2 exons. Lineage: Eukaryota; Metazoa; Chordata; Actinopteri; Anabantiformes; Osphronemidae.
GGGGAGCACGAGGAGCCGGGAUCGCCGAUCCUGCUGCAGGUGGCGGCCAGCAUGGCCAGCGGCGUGUUGCCCAAGCGGGGCUCCUCCUGUGGAGAGAGCGGAUCACUUUAGACGGAGUCCGGGUUCAACGCGGUUCUGUUUCAGCAAAUAUAAACAGAAGUGAACUCACCCCCAGCAGUGUAGCGGCCAUGUGCACCGAUGUCUUCAGCUGCGUGUCCGCGUGCGUCUGGAUGGGAUGAGUCUGUUUCCUCCCUGGCUGCCGUGCUAGUUGUAGCGUCUUGGCCGCUUUGAAGUGCCGCUGACACCCCGAGGACCAAUCAGAGGGCACCUCGCAACGCCUCCAUACGCAACAAGUGGGUCAGUAAUACUUCAGUCGGGACAACAGCGGCGAUUAAUGGGAACCACCUUCGACCAGCAGCGUAAUGUAAUAAUUGUAGUAGCUUUAUAUGAAAAGCAUUGCUCAAUGUUAAGGAAUGAAAGUGAGAGCAUCCACGUCACCGCGUUCAACAGUUUGUUUGUUUAUUUCUGCAGAUGUGUCACGUGUUUGUUUUGUUUUUUUUGUCCCCUGGAUAUGAUGAAGCCGUGCAGAGGCAGGGGCUGAUGAAUGAGAGGCCGCCCGGUCCGUCCCAUCCUGUCCCUGGGGCGGAUCCAGUCGGCCCUGGGGGAGGGCAGGGGGGGAGCGGGCACUCCCUCUACAAUCUAAGCUCAUUCAGCUCAAAACAAAUGUUGUCAUUGAAAACACAUCCUUCCUUUCUCACCUAUGUAAAUUGUUCAAAUGCACGGCUGAUAAACAGGUAAAUCUUGAAUAGUUGGCAAAAAAAAAGGGUCGUCAGCAUUUCAAUGUGCCCGCGAAAAUGAAGGAAGCGUUUCAUUUGAAUUUCAAAUUUAAUAAAACAGUAGAACUUAA